AGAUUGAACGCUGGCGGCAUGCCUUACACAUGCAAGUCGAACGGCAGCGCGGGAGCAAUCCUGGCGGCGAGUGGCGAACGGGUGAGUAAUAUAUCGGAACGUGCCCAGUAGUGGGGGAUAGCCCGGCGAAAGCCGGAUUAAUACCGCAUACGACCUGAGGGUGAAAGCGGGGGAUCGCAAGACCUCGCGCUACUGGAGCGGCCGAUAUCAGAUUAGCUAGUUGGUGGGGUAAAGGCCUACCAAGGCAACGAUCUGUAGUUGGUCUGAGAGGACGACCAGCCACACUGGGACUGAGACACGGCCCAGACUCCUACGGGAGCAGCAGUGGGGAAUUUUGGACAAGUGGGCGCAAGCCUGAUCCAGCAAUGACCGCGUGCAGGAAGAAGGCCUUCGGUUGUAACGUGUCUUUGUCGAGGAAGAAUCUUCUGGCUAAGUACCCGGAGA
This 444-nucleotide ribosomal RNA is filed under the name uncultured soil bacterium. RNAcentral describes it as "bacterial SSU rRNA". It matches the Rfam family "Bacterial small subunit ribosomal RNA", at positions 26 to 469 of the family's 1533-position model. The record is from RNAcentral.